UAAGAUUGUUGCAGCCCUUAAGCUGUUCUAGUUGUUCUGUAGGAUGUUAAUAUUACAAGCUUGACAAGUAGUGGAAUUCUUGAAGACCCUCUUAGUUAGAUACAUAUAUGGAACUUUCCUUUUACAAGUACAAAUUAUAUACAUAUAGACAUACAUACAUAUAUAUACAUAUACAUAUACAUAUACAUAUACAUAUACAUAUACAUAUACAUAUACAUAUACAUAUACAUAUACAUAUAGGCCUUAUCAUUCAUAUAACAACUGCUGGCGAAGUGUUAAAACAGGCCAUCCGAGUGAAGUAGAAUUUUCGUGUUCCGAAGUUGCUUAGCUAGUUGUGGAAUGCUUGUGCCAUAUAUGAACUCUUGUUGUAAAAGAGUUCAAGAAAAAGCAAGGAUCAAAAGUAUAUUAAAUGUAGAAUCAGUAUCGGGUCAGAUCAGAUCGGACUCUCUUGGCCUUGUUUGCUACGUACAUACAUCAUUAGCGUGAUUCUAAACAGUUCAACUUGCUCAUUCUUUUGCAGCCUUAUCUUAUUCAACAUCCUGUUCUAGCCAGUCGGGCCUAAGGUUUCUGGUGGUUGAUAGGUCGCUUAACAAUGGUGUAUAUGAUUCUCAAUCUCUUGAGGUAACUGAAGAAGGGUGUGUUGGAAACAG
RNAcentral lists this long non-coding RNA (650 nucleotides) under Gossypium barbadense (sea-island cotton). RNAcentral describes it as "long non-coding RNA (GBAR_LNC018291)". Lineage: Eukaryota; Viridiplantae; Streptophyta; Magnoliopsida; Malvales; Malvaceae. The record is from RNAcentral.